Molecule: ribosomal RNA, 392 nt
Filed under: uncultured bacterium
Lineage: Bacteria
Description: partial 16S ribosomal RNA
Rfam family: Bacterial small subunit ribosomal RNA
Source: RNAcentral
AUACGGAGGAUCCGAGCGUUAUCCGGAUUUAUUGGGUUUAAAGGGUGCGCAGGCGGCCAUUUAAGUCAGCGGUUAAAUCGUGGGGCUCAACCCCAUUCUGCCGUUGAUACUGGGUGGCUUGAUUGCGGUCGAGGUUGGUGGAAUUCGUUGUGUAGCGGUGAAAUGCAUAGAUAUGACGAAGAACACCGAUUGCGUAGGCAGCUGACCAGACCGCAAAUGACGCUCAUGCACGAAAGUGCGGGGAUCGAACAGGAUUAGAUGCCCUGGUAGUCCGCACAGUAAACGAUGAAUACUCGUUUUCGGCGAUAUAAUGUCGGAGGCAAAGCGAAAGCGAUAAGUAUUCCACCUGGGGAGUACGCCGGCAACGGUGAAACUCAAAUGAAUUGGCGGGG